AUAUGCCAAAAUGCAUGAUUCCAGAAUUCCAAACCAAAACCCUCCUCGAAGGGCGUAAAUCAUAAUUGUACAGCCUCUCACAGACCAGUACUAAUUACCAAGGUGCAAUCUCUCACGGAUCAGCACGAUUUACUAGCGUGCAGUCUCUCACAGACCAGCACGACAUACAAGAGUGCAGUCGCUCACAGACCAGCACAAUUUACUA
RNAcentral lists this long non-coding RNA (205 nucleotides) under Cicer arietinum (chickpea). RNAcentral's name for it is "long non-coding RNA (CARI_LNC000655)". Lineage: Eukaryota; Viridiplantae; Streptophyta; Magnoliopsida; Fabales; Fabaceae. The record is from RNAcentral.